Molecule: long non-coding RNA, 463 nt
Filed under: Homo sapiens (human)
Lineage: Eukaryota; Metazoa; Chordata; Mammalia; Primates; Hominidae
Description: HSALNT0144791
Source: RNAcentral
UCUUUCAGAACUUGUGCCCAAUAUGACCUCAUCCCUGAUGCCUUUCUAUAACUCUGUCAGAGUUGAUUUCCCCACUGAACUCACUAAAUUCCCUAUUAGAUGGUUGUAGAUGUUAAAGGAAACUGCUUGGCACCAGUACUGCAUUAGAACAUUGAGCCUUGCUAGUUCCUGUGGUUGCUGUCUAGGUAAACGUGGACUCGUGGAUGUCAUGUGUGUGCUAAGUAACUCCAGAGGGGUUCAGUUGUCAGAGAAGGUGUCAAAGAAGAGGUUAACACCUGAACAGGGUUCAGAGAAUUUAUAGGUAUUUGUCAGGUGGGGUUGGUGUUUUGCCACAUCCUCUUUCUGCCCAUCCACCAACUUGAAUACUUCCUGAAAGGGACAGGCCCCUGUCUUAGUCCUCUCUCUAUCCCUCUGCAGCUACUCAAUUCAGGUUUGGGGAGUGAAUGUUUCCUCCAUGCCUCAU